Molecule: long non-coding RNA, 307 nt
Organism: Juglans microcarpa x Juglans regia
Lineage: Eukaryota; Viridiplantae; Streptophyta; Magnoliopsida; Fagales; Juglandaceae
Exons: 2
Source: RefSeq, a predicted model, not a curated record
CAAAAAAUUUAAAUAUUUCAGAUUGCAUGUUUUGGGCAUUAUAAUUUGCAUUGAUACAGUCGGGUUCAAGAAAAGUACAAUAAUGUUAUAAGCUAGAGGGAUGGGAUCAAGAGAAAAGAUAUUUUGAGCAUAAUAGAAGGUACACUGCUAAAUGAGUGUCCUUAGAGAGACUACUUUCUUACUUAACAUGUAAUUGGCAAGAAGAAACUAAAGCUCUUCAUUACAAAAUAGAGAUAGAUGAUAAGCAAAUUGCUCUUCCUAGUAGCUGGGAUCAUGGAUAUUCCUCAUUUCCCAUGUCAUCUAUCAA